AUCCUACCGAGGCCACCAUAGACCAGCCAGCCCUCAGCGUACAUGCCAGCUAAUUACAGAUGCAGGAGCAAACCCCUGGCCCAUACAUCAAUUUUAAUGUCAUUGAAUACAGAGAACAAAUCUCAUUCAUUUUGGUAUCGGCUCGAGUCAACAAACAUUGAAAAAUCAUUUACUGCGUCUGAUUUUGGGUAUGUUGAAUUGGUGACAUCUGAGUUGCUUCUGGUCUAUCCUGAUAGAAACAUACAGUAAACAGAGAAAAAAAAGGAUCUCAGGUGAGAUGAUGUAUGGGAAUGCUCAGCAUACAGAAUGAAUGGAUAAGAGGCCUGAAAACAUAAUCCUGUAAACAACCAUAUUGAAAGAGAAGACAGAAGACAUCAAAGAGGAUUUUGGAAGCAUUGCCUUCUACAGAAUCCACAGUAGUCCGAAGUUCUUCUACGGUUUUUGUCAAACUUUGAUUUUCCAUCUCUAGCUUCAAUAAUCUACUUGAUGUCAACUCAUUCACCUCAUGGCCCAGGGAUUUCUGCGGUGCUAUAAUAUUGAAAAAUACACCAUUGUAUUUACUCUGUACUGUUUUUACUAUGUUUACUCUUUACUAUUUAAAAAGUUGAGUGUAUAUGCAUUGCAUCAUCUGAUCUUUAACUUUAUUAAAAAUUCAAUGGGGUUAUGUAAGAUAAACAAGAUAAGAGAGGUAAAUCUUUUUUUUCCUUUUCUUUUUUUCUUUUUUUAAAGAGACGGGGUGUCUCUCUGUCAUCCAGGUUGGAGUGCAGUGAUGUGUUCCUAGCUCACUGCAGCCUCAAACUCCUGGUCUGAAGGGAUCCUC
This 820-nucleotide non-coding RNA is filed under the name Pongo abelii (Sumatran orangutan). Lineage: Eukaryota; Metazoa; Chordata; Mammalia; Primates; Hominidae. The record is from RNAcentral.